Molecule: ribosomal RNA, 499 nt
Filed under: uncultured Glomeromycotina
Lineage: Eukaryota; Fungi; Glomeromycota
Description: partial small subunit ribosomal RNA
Rfam family: Eukaryotic small subunit ribosomal RNA
Source: RNAcentral
CCAAUAGCGUAUAUUAAAGUUGUUGCAGUUAAAAAGCUCGUAGUUGAAUUUCGGGAUCAAUAUGUCGGUCGUGCCUCGGUACGUACUGGCGUCAUUGGUUUCUCCCUUCUGAAGAACCUUGAUGUCAUUAACUUGGUGUCUUGGGGAAUCAGGACUGUUACUUUGAAAAAAUUAGAGUGUUUAAAGCAGGCUCGCGCUUGAAUACAUUAGCAUGGAAUAAUGAAAUAGGACGUUUGAUUCUAUUUUGUUGGUUUCUAGGAUCGACGUAAUGAUUAAUAGGGAUAGUUGGGGGCAUUAGUAUUCAAUUGUCAGAGGUGAAAUUCUUGGAUUUAUUGAAGACUAACUACUGCGAAAGCAUUUGCCAAGGAUGUUCUCAUUAAUCAAGAACGAAAGUUAGGGGAUCGAAGACGAUCAGAUACCGUCGUAGUCUUAACCAUAAACUAUGCCGACUAGGGAUCGGAUGAUGUUGAUUUUUUAAUGACUCAUUCGGCGCCUUACG